RNAcentral lists this transfer RNA (55 nucleotides) under Tetranychus evansi (red spider mite). Its description in RNAcentral is "tRNA-His". RNAcentral also lists the same sequence under 1 other name. The record is from RNAcentral. Lineage: Eukaryota; Metazoa; Arthropoda; Arachnida; Trombidiformes; Tetranychidae.
AUUGAAAUAGUUUAUAAAAAAUAUUAAAUUGUGAAUUUAAAGAAAAUUUUCAAUA